CCUGGCGGAUGCUUACCAUGCAAGUCGCACGGUCAGCAAUGGCAGUGGCGGACGGGUGAGUAACGCGUAGGAAUAUGUCCAGAGGUGGGGGACAACCCCGGGAAACUGGGGCUAAUACCGCAUAUGAGCUGAGGCUCAAAGCAGUGAUGCGCCUUUGGAGUAGCCUGCGUCCGAUUAGCUUGUUGGUGGGGUAAUGGCCUACCAAGGCGACGAUCGGUAGCUGGUCUGAGAGGACGACCAGCCACACUGGGACUGAGACACGGCCCAGACUCCCACGGGAGGCAGCAGUGGGGAAUAUUGGACAAUGGGCGCAAGCCUGGUCCAGCAAUUCCGCGUGGGUGAAGAAGGUCUUCGGAUUGUAAAGCCCUUUCGACGGGGACGAUGAUGACGGUACCCGUAGAAGAAGCCCCGGCUAACUUCGUGCCAGCAGCCGCGGUAAU
This 440-nucleotide ribosomal RNA is filed under the name uncultured bacterium. Its description in RNAcentral is "bacterial SSU rRNA". It matches the Rfam family "Bacterial small subunit ribosomal RNA", at positions 36 to 524 of the family's 1533-position model. The record is from RNAcentral.